ACGGAGGGUGCAAGCGUUAUCCGGAAUCACUGGGUUUAAAGGGUGCGUAGGCGGCGUUAUAAGUCAGAAGUGAAAGCCUGCAGCUUAACUGUGGAAUUGCUUUUGAUACUGUAAUGCUUGAAUCUGGUUGAGGUUAGCGGAAUGUGACAUGUAGCGGUGAAAUGCUUAGAUAUGUCAUAGAACACCAAUUGCGAAGGCAGCUGACUAGACCUGUAUUGACGCUGAGGCACGAAAGCGUGGGGAGCGAACAGG
RNAcentral lists this ribosomal RNA (252 nucleotides) under uncultured bacterium. Its description in RNAcentral is "partial 16S ribosomal RNA". It matches the Rfam family "Bacterial small subunit ribosomal RNA", at positions 525 to 776 of the family's 1533-position model. The record is from RNAcentral.